CAGACGGCUCUGCCCGUGACGGUUGUGAACAGGUAACGGUCUCAGGUACCCAGGCAUAUUUAAACAUUAACGCUGCGGUCUGGUGUUGGGGAGUUCAAAAACUGGGUCAUCGAAGAGAGGAAAGCGUGGAAACUACAGCGUUCACCCCAGGGUUUGGCUAGCAACACGCUUCCACUUGAGGGUUUGCGGUCAGCCCCUCUGCUGCCUGCCCUAAUCCUUCAUGGUGUCGGAGAGUUGGAUGCUUCAUCAGAAGUGGAGAUUUCAUCCUAGCAGUGGAGCCGGUGCCCUGCUCCCCGCGGGGGAGCCCGUUGCCUGCGUAAGGAAGCAGUGCGGGCCGCGGCUGCAAAGCCCAGUUUGCAAAGCAGGGGAGCAGCACAACGCAGGUUUUUAUUUUCACUGGUUUUAAAGGGAGGCUGCUCCGCGCAGGAUGACCCCUAGGUGGUGCCUGGAUGCUGCAGAUGCGGCGCCCGCGCGGCCAGGGGAAGGGCGUGCGAGGGAGGGAUCCAUCUUUGUCCAGCACCGCAGCACCCAGCGAGGCGGGGAGGCAGCGCCUGAUGCCCCAUGGGCCGCGUCCAAAUGGCUGGAAAAGCUGCGAGCUGGGAACACGCACGAAACCAGAUGACUUCACCCUGGAAAGCGCACGGUGCCUGAGCCUGGCCGUCGCAGCUGGGCAGCGCCAGCGGUGGGCGGCACCUGGCCCGCGCUGGGCAUGUUCCUUGUCCCUGUGCACAUGCAAGUUCAGAUGGCUGCGUGCAGGAGACGCGCAGAAGCCGGCAGCUCGCGACGCAGAGACCCAAGCGCUCGGCAGAGAGACGGACGUGGCUGGAUGGGUCCUGGCAUGCGCAGCUCCGGGCUCGCCUGCGCCAGGUCAUCGCGGAGGCAUGCAGCAAGGCCAGUGGAGCAGGAGGAGGAAGAAAC
This is a long non-coding RNA of Crocodylus porosus (Australian saltwater crocodile), 918 nucleotides long. Lineage: Eukaryota; Metazoa; Chordata; Crocodylia; Crocodylidae. The record is from Ensembl.